CGAACGGGGAGCAGCCCAGAGUCUGAAUCAGCUUGUGUGUUAGUGGAACGGUCUGGAAAGUCCGACGGUACAGGGUGAUAGUCCCGUACACCAAAAUGCACAGGUUGUGAACUCGAAGAGUAGGGCGGGACACGUGGUAUCCUGUCUGAAUAUGGGGGGACCAUCCUCCAAGGCUAAAUACUCCUGACUGACCGAUAGUGAACCAGUAC
RNAcentral lists this ribosomal RNA (209 nucleotides) under Klebsiella pneumoniae. RNAcentral's name for it is "partial 23S ribosomal RNA". It matches the Rfam family "Bacterial large subunit ribosomal RNA", at positions 254 to 501 of the family's 2925-position model. The record is from RNAcentral. Lineage: Bacteria; Pseudomonadati; Pseudomonadota; Gammaproteobacteria; Enterobacterales; Enterobacteriaceae.